Molecule: transfer RNA, 64 nt
Filed under: Hipparchia semele (rock grayling)
Lineage: Eukaryota; Metazoa; Arthropoda; Insecta; Lepidoptera; Nymphalidae
Description: tRNA-Phe
Source: RNAcentral
ACUUAAAUAGCUUAUUUAGAGUAUAAUAUUGAAGAUAUUAGGGAGAUUAUUAAAUCUUUAAGUA